Molecule: ribosomal RNA, 488 nt
Filed under: uncultured Propionibacterium sp.
Lineage: Bacteria; Bacillati; Actinomycetota; Actinomycetes; Propionibacteriales; Propionibacteriaceae
Description: bacterial SSU rRNA
Rfam family: Bacterial small subunit ribosomal RNA
Source: RNAcentral
AGAGUUUGAUCCUGGCUCAGGACGAACGCUGGCGGCGUGCUUAACACAUGCAAGUCGAACGGAAAGGCCCUGCUUUUGUGGGGUGCUCGAGUGGCGAACGGGUGAGUAACACGUGAGUAACCUGCCCUUGACUUUGGGAUAACUUCAGGAAACUGGGGCUAAUACCGGAUAGGAGCUCCUGCUGCAUGGUGGGGGUUGGAAAGUUUCGGCGGUUGGGGAUGGACUCGCGGCUUAUCAGCUUGUUGGUGGGGUAGUGGCUUACCAAGGCUUUGACGGGUAGCCGGCCUGAGAGGGUGACCGGCCACAUUGGGACUGAGAUACGGCCCAGACUCCUACGGGAGGCAGCAGUGGGGAAUAUUGCACAAUGGGCGGAAGCCUGAUGCAGCAACGCCGCGUGCGGGAUGGCGGCCUUCGGGUUGUAAACCGCUUUCGCCUGUGACGAAGCGUGAGUGACGGUAAUGGGUAAAGAAGCACCGGCUAACUACGUG